GUUUCAGUGUUUACAGCAUAGAUCACUGGGGAUGGGUGGACGAAAGUGCAUGACUUAUUUUACAUUUUGCGGUAGAAUUUAAUCCCGCAGCUUAGGUUUGAUUUCGUAUAAUAUUGUGCUUAUUUUUUUUGCACUUUGUUUGUUAACUGGUUUGUAAUGUAACACAUAGUGGACCGAUUCUGAAAGACUAGCCAGGUUACUUGCUCUUUAAUGUGUUAAUACAUUUUGAAAACGAAAUUUUUCCUGAACAGAGGAUUGUCUUGUUAGCUGACGUUAUAUGUUGACCCAAUUUGAAACAUUGCAUUUGUAGAUUAAUUAAUUAAUAACUUUCAAUAUCUGUUCUUCAAAACAUCAAGUGGUAUGAUGACUGAUGAAUUGGAGAGGCUUUUGAAGGAAGCUGUCAUGGCCUAAUUUAAGUACUAUCCUGGAAUUUGCAAGGAAGGACUGAAGAGAAACAUGAAAAUCCCUAGUCAGGAUAACCAGUGUCACAAAUCAGAUUCACACUGAGCGCCAACUCACUGGCUGAUAUUACCAGUUUACCAUAAUAAUUCUGUGAUUCGUGAAUAAACAUGCACAGUCGUCUACUCUGUGAGGUAGAAGAUUGGAAGAAACCGGCGCUGAUAGUUUUGGAUUUAGAUUUUACAUUAUGGCCCUUCAGGGUUGAUAAAAAUGCUAAAAGUCCAUUCAGCAUAAGCAGACAAAGAAAUAUAACCGAUACGAGAGGCAGAGUGUUUAAGACUUUUCCUGAGGUGCCACAACUUCUGAGGGCAUUAACAAACAGUGGCUACAAUUUGGCUGCUGCAUCAAGAAUAGAAGAUAUACCAGGGGCAUAUCAAUUGUUACACCUGUUUGACAUAACACAGUAUUUUCGGUAUAAAGAAAUAUAUCCCGGUACAAAGACAGUACAUUUUAAUAACUUACGUGCUAAGACAGGAAUCAGAUUUGAACAUAUGAUUUUCUUUGACGAUGAUAAACGUAAUGUUCGUGAUGUGUCACGGCUUGGAGUUACCGUGUUUCAGGUUCCACAGGAUGGUUUGACUUUCAGUGUCUUAAAUAAAGGUCUGUUAAAUUUUGCUUCCACAUAUACAUAACCUCAAUAAAGUUAUUUCACAUAAUUGCUGCAAAAUAUUUAUUCGUUCUGUUUUGUUCAUCCUGGAAAUCAAAAUACGUUGAUAUAGGAUAUGUCCAUCCAAGUUAUACAUUAUACGAGUAGAAAUUACAAUAAUGAUAAGAUUAACUUAUAACAGGAAAUGUAUGAAAAAUAAUAAUAUUAAGUUAUUAAAAAUAACUUUAUACUAUUAUAUAUGUUAAUCUAUUAAUGUAAGUGAUUUUGAUUGUAUGACUUUUGUACUUUUAUAUAUGUAUCUUGAUAUAUCUAUUUUCAAAAGGACCAUUUCCACAUCCUAGGUUUGUUACCUAUAUAGAUAUUUGGAAAAUAAAGGAAAUGAAUGAAUUAAUGAGAAAGUUCUUCAGUUCCUUUCUAAACUGGUUGUUAUUAUCUUUUUAUGUUGUUGGUCAGUUUGUUGUAGAAAAUGCAACCUGCUACUGAUGGUUCACGCUUUAUAAAGUACAAAAUUAUGUAUAUAUUUAAUAUAUUUAUUGGAUCAUAUUCUGGCAAUUUUUAUGUGUACACAUUUAAAGAUAUGUUUAUAUCCAAUAAUGUGUUUCAUUGUGUGGUGUAAUAAACGUUUGGACCCCAUGAAAAGCAAGGAUUUCCUUCGCCUGUUGAAUGGCUGUUAGCUUCUCAGCAACUCUGAUCUACUAUGUAUGUAAGUUAGUGAUCUAUUCAGUACAUAAUAUUCAUGAGUUUACGUAGAAGGUUAUGUUGUAUGUGUCAGCCAUAACCUCAGGUUUAUCCACAACGCAAACCAAAAUCAGGAUCAACCUCAUAAUCCAACUGUACAUAAAAAAUCAUUUCAGAGUGCUGCAGAAUUCAAAUGUGGUAUCAACAGUAAGUAAAUAAUUAAAUUCAUAGAAGAGAGUCU
Molecule: long non-coding RNA, 1985 nt
Organism: Cryptotermes secundus
Lineage: Eukaryota; Metazoa; Arthropoda; Insecta; Blattodea; Kalotermitidae
Exons: 3
Source: RefSeq, a predicted model, not a curated record